CCUACGGGGUGCAGCAGUAGGGAAUCUUCCACAAUGGGCGAAAGCCUGAUGGAGCAACGCCGCGUGGGUGAAGAAGGUCUUCGGAUCGUAAAACCCUGUUGUUAGAGAAGAAAGUGCGUGAGAGUAACUGUUCACGUUUCGACGGUAUCUAACCAGAAAGCCACGGCUAACUACGUGCCAGCAGCCGCGGUAAUACGUAGGUGGCAAGCGUUAUCCGGUUUUAUUGGGCGUAAAGGGCACGCAGGCGGUAUUUUAAGUCUGAUGUGAAAGGCUUCGGCUUAACCGGAGUAGUGCAUUGGAGACUGGGAGACUGGAGUGCAGAAGAGGAGAGUGGAACGCCAUGUGUAGCGGUGAAAUGCGUAGAUAUAUGGAAGAACACCAGUGGCGAAAGCGGCUCUCUGGUCUGUAACUGACGCUGAGGUUCGAAAGCGUGGGUAGCAAACAGGAUUAGAUACCCUGGUAGUC
This 465-nucleotide ribosomal RNA is filed under the name uncultured bacterium. RNAcentral's name for it is "partial 16S ribosomal RNA". It matches the Rfam family "Bacterial small subunit ribosomal RNA", at positions 338 to 795 of the family's 1533-position model. The record is from RNAcentral.